This 1794-nucleotide ribosomal RNA is filed under the name Taenia multiceps. RNAcentral's name for it is "SSU rRNA". The stretch from base 286 to 1794 matches the Rfam family "Eukaryotic small subunit ribosomal RNA". Lineage: Eukaryota; Metazoa; Platyhelminthes; Cestoda; Cyclophyllidea; Taeniidae. The record is from RNAcentral.
CACACGGUCUGCGUGUGGGCGUGUGGUGAGCGCGGUUCGGUUGGUAGGUUGGCAGGCGAGCUGGCUGGUCGUUGUCGCCGCAACUGCUGGCUGGCUGGCUGGCUGGCUGGCUGACUGGCUAGGCGGUGGGUUGGCGGGACGGCUGGGUGGUUUGCUUGCUGGCUGGGCUGGCUGGUGCGAUGCUGCACUACUACUGCUUGCGUGCAGUGAGCGUGUGUUGGCAGGGAUUGUGUUGCCGUGGCCAUGAAGAAGCACUGUCGUGUCAAGCUGGCAAGGCGAUGGUGUCACCUUUGAGCCAUGUCUGUGGUGUAACAGCUACAGGUGUGGACGGGUGUUGGGCAGCGCUCUGCACACGUUGUGGAGUCUGUCGGCUCGUCUGCAUGCCUUUGGAUGCCCUUAAAAAGGUGUCUGCGGGCGGAUGGCACGUUUACUUUGAACAAAUUUGAGUGCUCAAAUCAGGCCGAUGUUGCCUGAAAAGUUUUGCAUGGAAUAAUGGAAUAGGACUUCGGUUCUAUUUCGUUGGUUUUCGGAUCCGAAGUAAUGAUCAAAAGAGACAGGCGGGGACGUUUGUAUGGCUGCGCUAGAGGUGAAAUUCAUGGACCGUAGCCAGACAGACUAAAGCGAAAGCAUUCGUCAAGCAUGUUUUCAUUGGCCAUGAGCGAAAGUCAGAGGCUCGAAGACGAUCAGAUACCGUCCUAGUUCUGACCAUAAACGAUGCCAACUGACGAUCCGUGGUGGUAGUAGUGUUACCUUCCCCACGGGCAGUCCCCGGGAAACCUUUAAGUGUUUGGGUUCCGGGGGAAGUAUGGUUGCAAAGCUGAAACUUAAAGGAAUUGACGGAAGGGCACCACCAGGAGUGGAGCCUGCGGCUUAAUUUGACUCAACACGGGAAAACUCACCCGGGCCGGACACUGUGAGGAUUGACAGAUUGAGAGCUCUUUCUUGAUUUGGUGGUUGGUGGUGCAUGGCCGUUCUUAGUUGGUGGAGCGAUUUGUCUGGUUAAUUCCGAUAACGAACGAGACUCCAACCUGCUAAUUAGUGCGUUUGUCCACUGCGCCUGCGUAGGUGACGCUGGAUGACACCACCUGUCACGAGGACGUGGCAGCGGCUCUUCUCUCCCUUCUCCGCUCGAAUGCCUCCAGCGCCUCCUCCUCCUCCUCCUCCUCUCCUCCCCCUUCUUCAGCGCCUCAUCUGGCCGGCUGGCUGGCUGGCCGGGUGAGGCGGUGGUGGCGGUGGCGGUGGUGAGGGCGAUGGGGUGGGGAUGGUGCGGGUGGGCGAGUGGAUUGUGGUGGAGGCGUGGGGUUGGGUGCGGCGCUCGUGGCCGGUUAGUCUGGCGUUGGCCUCCGGGUGUGGCGCGAAUGCCUACUUCUUAGAGGGACAAGCGGGAGAAGCCGCACGAAAUAGAGCAAUAACAGGUCUGUGAUGCCCUUAGAUGUCCGGGGCCGCACGCGCGCUACAAUGACGGUGUCAGCGAGUCAGGCCUUCUGGCCCGAAAGGGUUGGGCAAACUGGUCAAUCACCGUCGUGACAGGGAUCGGGGCUUGGAAUUGUUCCCCGUGAACGAGGAAUUCCUAGUAAGUGCAAGUCAUAAGCUUGCGCUGAUUACGUCCCUGCCCUUUGUACACACCGCCCGUCGCUACUACCGAUUGAAUGGUUUAGUAAGGUCCUCGGAUUGGCGUCAUUGCGACGGUGGCCGAGAGGUCACAGCCCGAGGGGCGCUGAGAAGACGACCGAACUUGAUCAUUUAGAGGAAGUAAAAGUCGUAACAAGGUUUCCGUAGGUGAACCUGCGGAAG